UACGUAGGGGCUAGCGUUAUCCGGAAUUACUGGGCGUAAAGGGUGCGUAGGUGGUUUCUUAAGUCAGAGGUGAAAGGCUACGGCUCAACCGUAGUAAGCCUUUGAAACUGGGAAACUUGAGUGCAGGAGAGGAGAGUGGAAUUCCUAGUGUAGCGGUGAAAUGCGUAGAUAUUAGGAGGAACACCAGUUGCGAAGGCGGCUCUCUGGCCUAGAACUGACGCUGAAGCGCGAAAGCGUGGGUAGCGAACGGGAUUAGAUACCCCCGUAGUCCCUGAGCGGGCUGG
This 284-nucleotide ribosomal RNA is filed under the name uncultured prokaryote. RNAcentral's name for it is "partial 16S ribosomal RNA". It matches the Rfam family "Bacterial small subunit ribosomal RNA", at positions 524 to 819 of the family's 1533-position model. The record is from RNAcentral.